UGGGAGGGGUGGGUUUU
Molecule: microRNA, 17 nt
Filed under: Corchorus olitorius
Lineage: Eukaryota; Viridiplantae; Streptophyta; Magnoliopsida; Malvales; Malvaceae
Description: hsa-miR-44
Source: RNAcentral